UGAGGAAUAUUGGGCAAUGCCCGCAAGGGUGACCCAGCAACGCCGCGUGGAGGAUGAAUGUCGUAAGAUUGUAAACUCCUGUUAGAGGGGAAGAAUAGUACCGGUUGGACCGGUAUAUGACUGUACCCUCAGAGAAAGCCCCGGCUAACUACGUGCCAGCAGCCGCGGUAAUACGUAGGGGGCAAGCGUUGUCCGGAUUUACUGGGUGUAAAGGGCGCGCAGGCGGGAUAAAAAGUCAGUGGUGAAAUCCUACAGCUUAACUGUAGAACUGCCUUGGAUACUUGUAUUCUUGAGUUCGGGAGAGAGAGACGGAAUUCCAGGUGUACGGGUGAAAUACGUAGAUAUCUGGAAGAACACCAGUUGCGAAGGCGGUGUCUUGGUCCGACACUGACG
This 393-nucleotide ribosomal RNA is filed under the name uncultured bacterium. RNAcentral describes it as "bacterial SSU rRNA". It matches the Rfam family "Bacterial small subunit ribosomal RNA", at positions 355 to 745 of the family's 1533-position model. The record is from RNAcentral.